GAGAGGUGGUCCUAAUACUCAUAUCCGUUUAUCGUAUCUCCUAUAAAUAUGUUCUAAGCAGAAAAAAACCUAGACAGCCAGCCGCAAAGGCCGCUCUUGACGGAAUUUCUACUCGCUUGCGCCCUAGGGCAUCCAGUUGCCUUGGCUCUGCAGCCGCCACCCGCCGCGCGUACGCGUCUGCUCAUCCAUUGAGCCCGCGUGCUCCCCAUAUUUAUGCGCAUUCUUCUUUGCCUCGCCCUCUGUUCUCUCGGCACCGUCCCUAGACAGCUCCACGAGUCCUUCCGGCGCCGCCUGCAGCGAAUCCCAGCAGCUGCGCCAAGUCUCUUACAUCGCCUUGCCUUCGGACCGCGCUAAUCCUCUCGCUUCUUCUGCUCGCGUGCUUCGUCCACAGCCUGUCUUACAGCGCCCUAGCUGCUGCCGGCCAUGAUGUUUUCCUGCAGCAGACGCCUGUGCCUUGUGUCAUCAAUGCCCUGCUUUGUCUCCACGCACACGCAUUUUCCAGCAAUCUCUAACCAUUUCACGGGAAUCCGGUUGCCGCUGCUCCGCUUAUGUGCGCACGCUACUCCGAUCUUUUCUGCUGCUCUGCACACCGCAGAUGUUUAUUGCAGGAUAUAAACUUUUUUAUAUUUUAUCUCAAUCCUAAACUGACUUUUGAGUUGUGGUAAGAUGACUCUAGUAGUGGUGUAAAUUGCUUGGUUAUCUUGAUACAAUUAGCUCAGAAUUUGGAAAUUUAUUUUUGAUUUUAUUUGCCAAAUAGGUUUUCCCUUGGGUCUUUUAGCAUCAUCUGAUAUUCACUCCAAGAUUGGUUCAAUCCUAGGCUAUGCAUUUUUUUCUUCCACAUUGAUUUAAGGAUAGAGUCUGUUCUCAUUGUUCAUAAUUUCAUCACACGUCAACAAAAUUUGAAUGCUGAUAUUUAAAAAAAUUAUAAAGACAUUUUUUAGCCAUUUUAAAACUAUUUAAUUUGGUUAGCUUUUAAAUUUUUUGAUAAAUUAAUGGUGAAAGAUGUUGAAAUAAAAUGAAAUUUCUUCUUCUAAAAAGCUACUUGUCUAUCUUUAUGCUCAUUUGUCCAAAUUCCUCAUACUUUGAUGAUUCAACCAUCUUAAAUUUAAGUCUGAUUUGGCAUCUAACUAAACAACCCCUAAAUUUGAAUUUAUCACAUCGGGAUCACAAUUCAUAUGGAGCAACAAAUUCUCAUGAAACAUCAACGGAUGGAUCAAGUUUGGGCAAGCUCUGAUUCCGUGACUAAACUUAGUACAUUCUUAUCGACCUUGCAGACAAGGAUUAAGGGGCAUUGGGCCGGUAUGAAUAUCUGUUCUUCCGCCUCUACAUUUUCAAAGAUAUUGUUGAAUAUGCUUAAUUAGUUCAUGUUAAUUUAUAAUUCAAAUUGAAAGAAGUAAAACUGAAUUAGAAUAAUUUUUUUAGUUGAAUAAACUUUGUUACUAACUAAAGAACAUCUUUGAUUGCUCUAAGCCUGUUACAUAACAAUUUCCUCAUGUCCAGAAGAAACAACCAUUUUUUACUAAACAUGUCUUUUUAAUCCAAUGAACUUUCAGAUGGGCCCAAAACAAUUCAUGAGGUCCCCUCAAUGGAAUUUAAUUUUGUGAUCUUCUAUUGCCAAUCCUGGUUGGAUUUCAUUUAUUAUUUUAGCGUUCACACUUUGUGUUGGUAUGAUAUAUGUAGUUUGUUUUUCUCUAGAUUUAUUCUUGAAAUAAUGCUUGUAUGAAAGGUAGAAAAUGAUGAAUUUAAAUGGGUCAUUGUAUAUGAGAUGGAUGUGAUGAAGAUGUCAUCUUUUGCAUUGAUCACCGGAUGAAAAUUCGGUGGCAUGAAAAUCUUUCUAAUGGUUCGUAUUCGCUGAGCACCCAUCUCUAUUGCUAUGAUUUUUUGUUUUUGUUUUUGGUUUCACCAUAUGCGAAGGUCCUAUAGAGGAAUCAUUUUAUAUUUCAGUGUGAUAUCAUCUAAGUUUGCCUUCGAAUAGUAAGUGAAUUCAUAAAUUUUGAUUUUGAGUUUUAUUUGGUAGAUCAAAUCUUAUCAGACAUGGAUUUCAAACAAAUUUUGAAGGUUGUAGUCAGUUAUUUGUGGACUUUUUUAUCCAGUAUUUGGCCGAGUUUACUUUAGAAUAUAGGAUUUCACAAUCCUCUUUAGUUUGAACUUUCUAUUUAUUAGUAAAUUUGUGCUUGUAGGAUUUUUUUGGUGGGCAAACGAUGAAUCUUGACGUUAAAUGGGUAAUUUGCAUCUGAGGUUUUAAUUUCCAUUGAUGCUACCACUUUGGAAUUCUGAUGCCUUUUUUAUUUCGAUUUUUCCUUGGGGUAUUUUGUGUAUAUUUCGGCUAGCUCGAUGCGGAAUGGAGUGAGGUGAUGAGCAGUAAAUUAUUUCCUUAUUGGUUUGAUGACCAAUAUGAUGGCUACAAUUUUAUUAGCUCUAUCUGAUCGCUCUCCUCCAUUGAAUAAAGGGGGAUGUUGAAGGUAUUCGUGCUGAUGGUGCUAAUAACUUGUCUUUAAUUGCUGCUUGUGAUCAUCAGGUUGUGGUAUCUCCUGUUGUUGUUGAGAAGACUACUUUGAAAUGUGAACUUAAUCAUGAGAUCUUGGAUGUUGUAAAUGUGGAUUUUUGUGACCUUAAUAAGGUUGAUUUGAAUGAUUCUUCUAGCAAAUUGGUGAUUGUUUUAGGUGUUUAUCAUUUGGAUGAAAUGACUAUCACCUAAUGUUGUCAA
Long non-coding RNA from Dendrobium catenatum, 2707 nucleotides. RefSeq lists it as uncharacterized. The transcript has 2 exons. NCBI's taxonomy places the organism in Eukaryota, Viridiplantae, Streptophyta, Magnoliopsida, Asparagales, Orchidaceae. The record is from RefSeq and is a predicted model, not a curated record.